CUUCAUCACAUCCCUGUUGUAUCAAGAUAGCCUCCAUCUUGAUCUUCCACAGCCCGAAAUCAUUAGAACCAUUGAACUUCUCAACGUCGAACUUGAUUGCCAUUGCUUCUUGGAGAUUCUUGAAUCAGUGCCCCACGGUGGGCGCCAAUUGUUGGGUUCGAAGAGGAAACUAGAAACCNAGAAGAAGAAAAACAGAAGAGAAAGACAGAUAGAGAGUAGAACUGAAUAUUGCGUAAAAUCUUAUUCGAAACAGGGAGUUGGUUACAAUAUAUAACCAACUCAAGCACAGAAAGCAAACAGCAAAGAAAACCGGACGC
This 317-nucleotide long non-coding RNA is filed under the name Vigna radiata. RNAcentral's name for it is "long non-coding RNA (VRAD_LNC007358)". The record is from RNAcentral. Lineage: Eukaryota; Viridiplantae; Streptophyta; Magnoliopsida; Fabales; Fabaceae.